RNAcentral lists this ribosomal RNA (406 nucleotides) under uncultured bacterium. Its description in RNAcentral is "partial 16S ribosomal RNA". It matches the Rfam family "Bacterial small subunit ribosomal RNA", at positions 30 to 526 of the family's 1533-position model. The record is from RNAcentral.
AUUGAACGCUGGCGGCAGGCCUAACACAUGCAAGUCGAACGAGUGGCGGACGGGUGAGUAAUGUCUGGGAAACUGCCUGAUGGAGGGGGAUAACUACUGGAAACGGUAGCUAAUACCGCAUACCAUCGGAUGUGCCCAGAUGGGAUUAGAUAGUAGGUGGGGUAACGGCUCACCUAGGCGACGAUCCCUAGCUGGUCUGAGAGGAUGACCGGCAAAACUGGAACUGGGAAACGGCCCAGACUCCUACGGGAGGCAGCGGUGGGGAAUAUUGCACAAUGGGGGCAAGCCGGAUGCAGCCAUGCCGCGUGUAUGAAGAAGGCCUUCGGGUUGUAAAGUACUUUCAGCGGGGAGGCGUUACCCGCAGAAAAAGCACCGGCUAACUCCGUGCCAGCAGCCGCGGUAAUAC